RNAcentral lists this small RNA (28 nucleotides) under Bombyx mori (domestic silkworm). Its description in RNAcentral is "ovarian small RNA-31379". Lineage: Eukaryota; Metazoa; Arthropoda; Insecta; Lepidoptera; Bombycidae. The record is from RNAcentral.
UGACAGAGAGGAUGUCACGCUUCGUUUU